CCCUUAGAUGUUCUGGGCCGCACGCGCGCUACACUGAUACAUGCAACGAGUUUAUAACCUUGAUCUGACGGUCUGGGUAAUCUUCAAACUGUAUCGUGUUAGGGAUCGAUUCUUGCAAUUUUUAAUCGUAAACGAGGAAUUCCUAGUAAACGCAAGUCAUCAGCUUGCAUUGAUUACGUCCCUGCCCUUUGUACACACCGCCCGUCGACUCUACCGAUUGAAUGGUUCGGUGAAAACUUUGGACUGUGGCAUUGUCCUUCAUUGGACUUCGCCGUAGGAAAUUGUUUAAACCCCAUCAUUUAGAGGAAGAAUAAGUCGUAACA
Molecule: ribosomal RNA, 323 nt
Filed under: uncultured eukaryote
Lineage: Eukaryota
Description: partial 18S ribosomal RNA
Rfam family: Eukaryotic small subunit ribosomal RNA
Source: RNAcentral